AGAACAUUGGGCAAUCACCAACCAUAUGAAGUUCAACAAGGGAAAAUGCUGGAUUCUGCACCUGGAAUGGGCUAACCCUGGAUGUAGGAUCUUCAGCACAGGAAGAAUAUGGACCUGCUGGAGUGAGUCCAGCUCUUGGCUAUUCAACUCAUCUUGAAGAAGAAAUGUCUCAGGAGCCCCAAAACCAUGAUCCUUACAUUCAAUUGUUUUUGCUAAGAGUGCAAGUGUCCAACACCACUGCUGUCUUGGAAGACAGUUUGACAUCCUGAGUGUUCUGAGUGUUG
Long non-coding RNA from Vidua chalybeata, 284 nucleotides. RefSeq lists it as uncharacterized. NCBI's taxonomy places the organism in Eukaryota, Metazoa, Chordata, Aves, Passeriformes, Viduidae. The transcript has 4 exons. The record is from RefSeq and is a predicted model, not a curated record.